UAGAGUUUGAUCCUGGCUCAGAUUGAACGCUGGCGGAAUGCUUUACACAUGCAAGUCGAACGGCAGCACGGACUUCGGUCUGGUGGCGAGUGGCGAACGGGUGAGUAACAUAUCGGAACGUAUCCAAUAAUGGGGGAUAACUAAUCGAAAGGUUGGCUAAUACCGCAUACGCCCUACGGGGGAAAGCUAGGGACCUUCGGGCCUGGCGUUAAUGGAGCGGCCGAUAUCUGAUUAGCUAGUUGGUGGGGUAAAGGCCCACCAAGGCGACGAUCAGUAGCUGGUCUGAGAGGACGACCAGCCACACUGGAACUGAGACACGGUCCAGACUCCUACGGGAGGCAGCAGUGGGGAAUUUUGGACAAUGGGCGCAAGCCUGAUCCAGCCAUUCCGCGUGAGUGAAGAAGGCCUUCGGGUUGUAAAGCUCUUUCGCAAGGGAAGAACACUUAAUCUCUAACAUAGAUUGAGGUUGACGGUACCUUGAUAAGAAGCACCGGCUAACUACGUGCCAGCAGCCGCGGUAAUACGUAGGGUGCGAGCGUUAAUCGGAAUUACUGGGCGUAAAGCGUGCGCAGGCUGUUUUGUAAGUCAGAUGUGAAAUCCCUGAGCUCAACUUAGGAACUGCGUUUGAAACUACAAGACUAGAAUAUGUCAGAGGGGGGUAGAAUUCCACGUGUAGCAGUGAAAUGCGUAGAGAUGUGGAGGAAUACCAAUGGCGAAGGCAGCCCCCUGGGAUAAUAUUGACGCUCAUGCACGAAAGCGCGGGGAGCAAACAGGAUUAGAUACCCUGGUAGUCCACGCCCUAAACGAUGUCUACUAGUUGUUGGUGGAGUAAAAUCCAUGAGUAACGCAGCUAACGCGUGAAGUAGACCGCCUGGGGAGUACGGUCGCAAGAUUAAAACUCAAAGGAAUUGACGGA
Molecule: ribosomal RNA, 916 nt
Filed under: uncultured bacterium
Lineage: Bacteria
Description: bacterial SSU rRNA
Rfam family: Bacterial small subunit ribosomal RNA
Source: RNAcentral